GGACCCGCACAAGUAGUGGAGCAUGUGGUUUAAUUCGAAGAUACGCGCAGAACCUUACCAACACUUGACAUGUUCGUCGCGACUCUAAGAGAUUAGAGUUUUCGGUUCGGCCGGACGAAACACAGGUGCUGCAUGGCUGUCGUCAGCUCGUGUCGUGAGAUGUUGGGUUAAGUCCCGCAACGAGCGCAACCCUCACUUUUAGUUGCCAUCAUUAAGUUGGGCACUCUGAAAGAACUGCCAGUGAUAAGCUGGAGGAAGGUGGGGAUGACGUCAAGUCCUCAUGGCCCUUACGUGUUGGGCUACACACGUGCUACAAUGGUGAGGACAAUGAGCAGCUACCCCUGCGAAGGCAAG
This 354-nucleotide ribosomal RNA is filed under the name uncultured bacterium. RNAcentral's name for it is "bacterial SSU rRNA". It matches the Rfam family "Bacterial small subunit ribosomal RNA", at positions 917 to 1267 of the family's 1533-position model. The record is from RNAcentral.